CCUACGGGAGGCAGCAGUGAGGAAUAUUGGUCAAUGGGCGGAAGCCUGAACCAGCCAAGUAGCGUGCAGGAUGACGGCCCUACGGGUUGUAAACUGCUUUUAUACGGGAAUAACGCGCCUUACGUGUAGGGCUUUGCAUGUACCGUAUGAAUAAGCACCGGCUAACUACGUGACAGAAGCCGCGGGAAUACGGAGGGUGCGAGCGGGCAUAGGAAUUACUGGGCGUGAAGGGUGCGCAGGCGGUUGAUGAAGACAGAUGUGAAAUCCCCGAGCUUAACUCGGGAAUUGCAUAUGUGAAUGCUCGACUAGCGUGUGUCAGAGGGAGGUGGAAUUCCACGUGUAGCAGUGAAAUGCGUAGAUAUGUGGAAGAACCCCGAUGGCGAAGGCAGCCUCCUGGGACAUAACUGACGCUCAGGCACGAAAGCGUGGGGAGCAAACAGGAUUAGAUACCCGAGUAGUC
Molecule: ribosomal RNA, 460 nt
Filed under: uncultured bacterium
Lineage: Bacteria
Description: partial 16S ribosomal RNA
Rfam family: Bacterial small subunit ribosomal RNA
Source: RNAcentral